CCUACGGGAGGCAGCAGUGAGGAAUAUUGGUCAAUGGACGCAAGUCUGAACCAGCCAUGCCGCGUGCAGGAAGACGGCUCUAUGAGUUGUAAACUGCUUUUGUACGAGGGUAAACGCAGAUACGUGUAUCUGUCUGAAAGUAUCGUACGAAUAAGGAUCGGCUAACUCCGUGCCAGCAGCCGCGGUAAUACGGAGGAUUCAAGCGUUAUCCGGAUUUAUUGGGUUUAACGGGUGCGUAGGCGGUCGGAUAAGUUAGAGGUGAAAUCCCGAGGCUCAACUUCGGAAUUGCCUCUGAUACUGUUUGGCUAGAGAGUAGUUGCGGUAGGCGGAAUGUAUGGUGGAGCGGUGAAAUGCUUAGAGAUCAUACAGAACACCGAUUGCGAAGGCAGCUUACCAAGCUACUUCUGACGUUGAGGCACGAAAGCGUGGGGAGCAAACAGGAUUAGAUACCCGGGUAGUC
This 460-nucleotide ribosomal RNA is filed under the name uncultured bacterium. Its description in RNAcentral is "partial 16S ribosomal RNA". It matches the Rfam family "Bacterial small subunit ribosomal RNA", at positions 338 to 795 of the family's 1533-position model. The record is from RNAcentral.